GUGCUCACUUCAGCAGCACAUACACUAAGAUUGAAAUGAUACAGAGAAGAUUAGCAUGGCUCCUGCACAAGGAUGACAUGCAAAUGUGUGAAGCGUUCCCUAUUUUU
Tupaia belangeri (northern tree shrew) is the source of this 107-nucleotide small nuclear RNA. The record is from Ensembl. Lineage: Eukaryota; Metazoa; Chordata; Mammalia; Scandentia; Tupaiidae.